AUGGCUGGCCAUCUGGUGCUUCUUGCAAUCAAAUAUCUCACAAUUAACAGUAAUUUACUUGCCCUGAGACUUCCACGAUCUUUGCAUGUUUUUUUUUUCCUUCAGCCCUCGUACGUGUGGUCCCCCUGGAGCACUGCUGGGAGUAAGCCGAGCCCUGAGCUGCCCAUAGGAUGUCCUGGUGCCAAAUGGUGUGGGGGUCCUGCUGGGUUUUCUGCUUAUACCCCCAAAAUCAGAGGCAGGCAGCGUGUCUUCUGCUUCUCAGGCCCUGGAAGAACCACAUUUGGGAGGUGACAUUGGAAUUGGAGACUGGUGGCAGCCCCUUCAAUAACUUCAGGUCUGUUUUGAAUAUGUCCUUGCCCAACCACCUCUGUAGCUUAAUAGUAUGAAUAGUGAACAUGAAUAAAUGAAUUCCAGAUGACA
RNAcentral lists this long non-coding RNA (420 nucleotides) under Anser brachyrhynchus (Pink-footed goose). RNAcentral's name for it is "lncRNA (ENSABRG00000022250.1)". The record is from RNAcentral. Lineage: Eukaryota; Metazoa; Chordata; Aves; Anseriformes; Anatidae.